RNAcentral lists this ribosomal RNA (711 nucleotides) under uncultured marine eukaryote. RNAcentral's name for it is "SSU rRNA". It matches the Rfam family "Eukaryotic small subunit ribosomal RNA", at positions 618 to 1335 of the family's 1831-position model. The record is from RNAcentral.
GUUAAAAAGCUCGUAGUCGGAUUUCGGGGCGGGCCGAGCGGUCUGCCGAUGGGUAUGCACUGUUCGGCGCGUCCUUCUUUCCGGAGACUAGUUCUACUCUUAACUGAGCGGGACUGGGAGACGGAUCGUUUACUUUGAAAAAAUCAGAGUGUUUCAAGCAGGCAGCUCGCUCUUGCAUGGAUUAGCAUGGGAUAAUGAAAUAGGACUCUGGUGCUAUUUUGUUGGUUUCGAACACCGGAGUAAUGAUUAACAGGGACAGUCAGGGGCACUCGUAUUCCGUCGAGAGAGGUGAAAUUCUCAGACCAAUGGAAGACGAACCACUGCGAAAGCAUUUGCCAGGGAUGUUUUCACUGAUCAAGAACGAAAGUUAGGGGAUCGAAGACGAUCAGAUACCGUCGUAGUCUUAACCAUAAACCAUGCCGACUAGGGAUUGGAGGGUGUUCUAUUCGACCCCUUCAGCACCUUACGGGAAACUAAAGUCUUUGGGUUCCGGGGGGAGUAUGGUCGCAAGGCUGAAACUUAAAGGAAUUGACGGAAGGGCACCACCAGGAGUGGAGCCUGCGGCUUAAUUUGACUCAACACGGGGAAACUUACCAGGUCCAGACAUUGUUAGGAUUGACAGAUUGAGAGCUCUUUCUUGAUUCGAUGGGUGGUGGUGCAUGGCCGUUCUUAGUUGGUGGAGUGAUUUGUCUGGUUAAUUCCGUUAACGAA